RNAcentral lists this transfer RNA (71 nucleotides) under Loxodonta africana (African savanna elephant). It matches the Rfam family "tRNA". Rfam says of the family: Transfer RNA (tRNA) molecules are approximately 80 nucleotides in length. The record is from Rfam by way of RNAcentral. Lineage: Eukaryota; Metazoa; Chordata; Mammalia; Proboscidea; Elephantidae.
ACAGUGGUGUUUCAGUGGUAGAAUUCUUUUCUCCCAUGAAAAAGACCUGGAUUUCAUUCCCAGCCGAUGCA